AGCAGCCGCGGUAAUUCCAGCUCCAAUAGCGUAUAUUAAAGUUGUUGCAGUUAAAAAGCUCGUAGUUGAAUUUCGGGAUCAAUUAAUUGGUCGUGCCUCUGGUACGUACUGAUUUUAUUGGUUUCUCCCUUCUGACGAACCAUGAUGUCAUUAAUUUGGUGUCGUGGAGAAUCAGGACUGUUACUUUGAAAAAAUUAGAGUGUUUAAAGCAAGCUAACGCUUGAAUACAUUAGCAUGGAAUAAUGAAAUAGGACGUUUGAUCCUAUUUUGUUGGUUUCUAGGAUCGACGUAAUGAUUAAUAGGGAUAGUUGGGGGCAUUAGUAUUCAAUUGUCAGAGGUGAAAUUCUUGGAUUUAUUGAAGACUAACUACUGCGAAAGCAUUUGCCAAGGAUGUUUUCAUUAAUCAAGAACGAAAGUUAGGGAUCGAAGACGAUCAGAUACCGUCGUAGUCUUAACCAUAAACUAUAGCCGACUAGGGAUCGGAUGAUGUUAAUUUUUAAUGUACUCAUUCGGCGCCUUA
RNAcentral lists this unclassified non-coding RNA (520 nucleotides) under uncultured Glomus. Its description in RNAcentral is "SSU rRNA". It matches the Rfam family "Eukaryotic small subunit ribosomal RNA", at positions 569 to 1090 of the family's 1831-position model. The record is from RNAcentral. Lineage: Eukaryota; Fungi; Glomeromycota; Glomeromycetes; Glomerales; Glomeraceae.